RNAcentral lists this long non-coding RNA (260 nucleotides) under Elaeis guineensis (African oil palm). RNAcentral's name for it is "long non-coding RNA (EGUI_LNC027711)". The record is from RNAcentral. Lineage: Eukaryota; Viridiplantae; Streptophyta; Magnoliopsida; Arecales; Arecaceae.
CUGCCUUAAAAGAGAGUGAUGCUCAGAGAGCUUACUAUGGAGCUCUCCCAUCUCAAGCUCAUGCAAGCCACCAUCCUGAUCCUCCCUCAGUUGCAACUCCAUAAUAUCUGCCUCAACCUGCUCAAUUCGGUGAAAAAUGUCACCCACCUCCAAGUGGUUCUAUCUGAGGAACCUAUGUCUGGCUAGCUCCAGCUGUGGGUCAUCCUGUACCUUGUAUCCCCAUGCAUCGGUAGCCUCCACACCUUCCAAAUCAAGUCCCA